RNAcentral lists this non-coding RNA (744 nucleotides) under Trypanosoma congolense IL3000. Its description in RNAcentral is "Eukaryotic large subunit ribosomal RNA". It matches the Rfam family "Eukaryotic large subunit ribosomal RNA", at positions 1 to 693 of the family's 3401-position model. Lineage: Eukaryota; Euglenozoa; Kinetoplastea; Trypanosomatida; Trypanosomatidae. The record is from Rfam by way of RNAcentral.
CAGACCUGAGUGUGGCAGGACCACCCGCUAAACUUAAGCAUAUUACUCAGCGGAGGAAAAGAAAACAACCGUGAUUCUCUCGGGCAGCGGCGAGCGAAGAGGGAACGAACUCGUUGCCGAAUCGGGUCUGAAUGGCCUCGAGUUGUGGCAUGACGUGCCGCCUUGGGGGCUGGUGCGGGCGUGGCUGAAUUCAAUCGAAAAGCAAACCCGUUGCUGAAUCUACAACCCUUCAUGUGAGUAUUGAGCCAAAGAAGGUGUCAGCCCAUUUAUUCUAUGCCACCCACCCGCGCCUCCUCGGGCGGCCCAAGAGAGUAGCACUGUUUGGGAAUGCAGUGUCAAGCCGGCAGGUAUUUGUCUGCCAAGGUUAAAUACAGAGUAGGAAGACCGAUAGCGAACAAGUAGCGUGAGCGAAAGUUUGAAAAGCACUUUGGAAAGAGAGUGACAUAGAACCUGAAAUCGUGGCAACGACAAUGGAAGUACCUCCAUUUCGACGGCCAGACCCAGCCGCGCGUGUGCAUGUGUUUAUUCUUUGCCUUGGGGGUUCAAAAUCCCUUGGCUUUUUUCCAUUGCGCGUCGCGGCGUGGCGUGUGUGAGUGAGCGGAUUUGCUGGGUGCGCUUUGCAUGCCUCCCUUUCUGGUGGUAUGCAUGGUGUGCUCUUUCCGUGCCUCUCGACGCUGGCGAAGGGAAUGGGGUGCCCCCACCCGUCUUGAAACACGGACCAAGGAUCAAACAGACCGCAAGGUC